RNAcentral lists this long non-coding RNA (685 nucleotides) under Bos taurus (domestic cattle). RNAcentral's name for it is "long non-coding RNA NONBTAT012627". Lineage: Eukaryota; Metazoa; Chordata; Mammalia; Artiodactyla; Bovidae. The record is from RNAcentral.
UCAUGGCAAGUGAAAGACAAUUAUACUUUCUGAACCCUACUACCAACACAGAAAAAACUAAAAUGGAAAACUCAUACUACGAUUCAACAAAUAACUUGUGGAGUCUCUAAAAGCCGUUUCCCUUCAAUGCACAGAAGUAUGAGAAGGUAUAUUCCAGCAAAGAAAUGGUUGGAAUUCAGGGGAAGUGGAGUUUAUUCGAGGCAGUAAUAUUUCCUUGAACUUCCAGAGCCACUGAUUCAGAACGUCCAGCUCUUUUCUAAUUUAUAGUGUGUUCUUCGUGUCUGGCUGCCUGUUUAGCUGAAGGAUCCUGUCCCUGGAAGGAAUUCAUUUGACUUCUGAAAGAGUCCCAGAAGGAACUAAGGGAUGUGCAUUUCAAAUAAAACAGGCAGAAUGGAACUCAAAACACUUUAGACAAAUAGCAAGAUAUUUAGGAAAGGAUAUAAUUAAUCCAGAACACUUCUGCAAUAUUUCAGCCUAAACAUACUUCCUCUUAAGGAACAAAAAAAUCUUGAAAGAGAUUUCUGAACUAUAUGGGCUAAACUUUAAACUGAAGUACAAAGCAAAGCUUACAGGAAAUAGGAAGACCUUGGAGAAAUCUAGAAAUAUACUCUAACUUAGUAGAGUCAGUUAUUAAAUAUUUAACUUUCUCCCACAGGCUUAAAAAAAGAUCAAUUUUCCCUCUGGC